RNAcentral lists this ribosomal RNA (719 nucleotides) under Tarzetta ochracea. RNAcentral's name for it is "partial large subunit ribosomal RNA". It matches the Rfam family "Eukaryotic large subunit ribosomal RNA", at positions 1 to 736 of the family's 3401-position model. Lineage: Eukaryota; Fungi; Ascomycota; Pezizomycetes; Pezizales; Tarzettaceae. The record is from RNAcentral.
CCCCAUUCAGGAAUCCGUCGAUGGUACCCUGCUGAACUUAAGCAUAUCAAUAAGCGGAGGAAAAGAAACCAACAGGGAUUGCCUUAGUAACUGCGAGUGAAGCGGCAAAAGCUCAAAUUUGAAAUCUGCGUGCUUAGGUACGUCGAGUUGUAAUCUUGAGAUGCGUUUUCGACCGACGGGCCUGCCUUAAGUCCCUUGGAACAGGGCGUCACAGAGGGUGAGAAUCCCGUGAACGGUAGGCCUCGAGGCGUAUGAUACGUAUUCGACGAGUCGAGUUGUUUGGGAAUGCAGCUCAAAAUGGGUGGUAAAUUUCAUCUAAAGCUAAAUAUUGGGGAGAGACCGAUAGCGCACAAGUAGAGUGAUCGAAAGAUGAAAAGCACUUUGAAAAGAGAGUUAAAAAGUACGUGAAAUUGUUGAAAGGGAAGCGCUUGAGACCAGACUCAUUCACCGUUGAUCAACUCCAGUUCUCUGGCGUGCACUCGGCGGUGUUUGGGACAGCAUCGGUUCCGACGGAGGGAUAAAGCCUCAGGAAAUGUGGCACCCUUCGGGGUGUGUUAUAGACCUCCGGGCAAUGCCUCCAGUCGGGACCGAGGACCGCGCUUCGGCUAGGAUGCUGUCAUAAUGGCCUUCAGCGACCCGUCUUGAAACACGGACCAAGGAGUCUAACAUCUAUGCGAGUGUUCGGGUGGAAAACCCUGCGCGUAAGAAGGAACGAGGAU